This 427-nucleotide ribosomal RNA is filed under the name uncultured Steroidobacter sp. RNAcentral's name for it is "bacterial SSU rRNA". It matches the Rfam family "Bacterial small subunit ribosomal RNA", at positions 355 to 774 of the family's 1533-position model. Lineage: Bacteria; Pseudomonadati; Pseudomonadota; Gammaproteobacteria; Steroidobacterales; Steroidobacteraceae. The record is from RNAcentral.
UGGGGAAUAUUGGACAAUGGGGGAAACCCUGAUCCAGCGACGCCGCGUGGGUGAAGAAGGCCUGCGGGUUGUAAAGCCCUUUCGAUGGGGAAGAAAAGCCUUGACCUAACACGUCAGGGUCUUGACGUAACCCAUUAAAGAAGCACCGGCUAACUCUGUGCCAGCAGCCGCGGUAAUACAGAGGGUGCGAGCGUUAAUCGGAAUUACUGGGCGUAAAGCGCGCGUAGGCGGCUUCGCAAGUCGGAUGUGAAAUCCCCGGGCUUAACCCGGGAACUGCACUCGAGACUGCGUUGCUAGAGUAUGGGAGAGGGAGGUGGAAUUUCAGGUGUAGCGGUGAAAUGCGUAGAUAUCUGAAGGAACAUCAGUGGCGAAAGCGACCUCCUGGACCAAUACUGACGCUCAUGUGCGAAAGCGUGGGGAGCAAACA